UUUCAUUUAUUUUCUUAUAGAUUUAUUAUGUAUGUGCCAUACAUAUACUGUGUAAUACUUAUCUCGAAACCACAUUGAACUGCAUAUGACCGGAGCGGACAUGAACGCUAGACCGUGCAAUUUACAAUUUAUCAUCUCUCAGUCACCAUGUUGAUUUUAAUUCCAAAGGUCAACCAGCACACCAAGUUACAGAAGCAUAUUUUUCUCUUCGUACACACACUUCGUUCAUCACAAUAAUACAUACUUUUGGUACACUUAUCCUUUUUUUCUCUUUUUAUUUCUCUCUUACACAGAAGAUUCUCUCGGUAAACUUUUCUAUAUUAAAUAAUGGAUCAGUUAGACAUUUAAUUCGAAAACCCAGACAUAAUGGUAACUUUUACGAUCGUAAAAAUAGCAUUCAGUUUAGUAUUGAAUGCUCUUUCGUCAAAUAUAUUUGUAUUACACAAGUGCGCAUAAACCAAAGCAGUACAGUCUUAGUUCAUCUGAGCGAAAUAUUCAAUCAUAUCACUUAGUGUUAGUCGGUACAGUGAGAUGAUGUGAAUUAAACAAACGACCGUAAGUGACAAAUAAGCCAUGUGAAAAGAAGAUGGAAUAUAUAAGAGUUAAAAUUCUUCGCCGUUCUGCAAAAUAGUGCGAAAGAAUAAUACAAGACUUUAAAACAUUCAAGUUGUUUCUGAAAUACAAGCGAUAAGGCUGAAUCUAUCAAAAAAGCAAACGAAAAAAAGACAGCG
Molecule: long non-coding RNA, 731 nt
Organism: Octopus bimaculoides (California two-spot octopus)
Lineage: Eukaryota; Metazoa; Mollusca; Cephalopoda; Octopoda; Octopodidae
Source: RefSeq, a predicted model, not a curated record